AGGAACAUGUGGUUUAAUUCGAUGAUACGCGAGGAACCUUACCUGGGCUUAAAUGGGAGUGACAGCUGUCGAAAGAUGGUUUUCUUCGGACACUCUUCAAGGUGCUGCAUGGUUGUCGUCAGCUCGUGCCGUGAGGUGUCGGGUUAAGUCCCAUAACGAGCGCAACCCUUACCGUUAGUUACCAUCAGGUUAAGCUGGGGACUCUAGCGGGACUGCCACCGUAAGGUGAGAGGAAGUGGGGAUGACGUCAAAUCAGCACGGCCCUUAUGUCCAGGGCUACACACGUGUUACAAUGGCCGGUACAAAGGGCAGCUACUUCGCGAGAAGAUGCUAAUCUCGAAAGCCGGUCUCAGUUCGGAUCGAAGUCUGCAACCCGACUUCGUGAAGCUGGAUUCGCUAGUAAUCGCGCAUCAGCCAUGGCGCGGUGAAUACGUUCCCGGGCCUU
This 445-nucleotide ribosomal RNA is filed under the name uncultured Sphingobacteriales bacterium. RNAcentral describes it as "bacterial SSU rRNA". It matches the Rfam family "Bacterial small subunit ribosomal RNA", at positions 933 to 1382 of the family's 1533-position model. The record is from RNAcentral. Lineage: Bacteria; Pseudomonadati; Bacteroidota; Sphingobacteriia; Sphingobacteriales.